Molecule: long non-coding RNA, 200 nt
Filed under: Panax ginseng (ginseng)
Lineage: Eukaryota; Viridiplantae; Streptophyta; Magnoliopsida; Apiales; Araliaceae
Description: long non-coding RNA (PGIN_LNC004443)
Source: RNAcentral
CCCAGUAUUUUAAGGCAGGUCAUAGAAGCAGUCUUCCUGCACAUUUAAAAAUAAUAGCAAGUCAAAAAAAUGAAGCAAAUAGGUGAGGCACUUAGUGCCAAAAUCAAUACACAAAGACAAUAGAGUUGCUACGUGGUACAAUGUCAAGGAUUGACUCCUAUUUCAUAAUACUUUAGAAUACCGCCAAUUUCUUGUUCAAU